RNAcentral lists this ribosomal RNA (402 nucleotides) under uncultured prokaryote. RNAcentral describes it as "bacterial SSU rRNA". It matches the Rfam family "Bacterial small subunit ribosomal RNA", at positions 355 to 774 of the family's 1533-position model. The record is from RNAcentral.
UGGGGAAUAUUGGACAAUGGGCGCAAGCCUGAUCCAGCCAUGCCGCGUGAGUGAUGAAGGCCCUAGGGUUGUAAAGCUCUUUUGUCGGGGACGAUAAUGACGGUACCCGAAGAAUAAGCUCCGGCUAACUUCGUGCCAGCAGCCGCGGUAAUACGAAGGGAGCUAGCGUUGUUCGGAAUCACUGGGCGUAAAGCGCACGUAGGCGGAUUUGUAAGUCAGGGGUGAAAUCCCGGGGCUCAACCUCGGAACUGCCUUUGAUACUACAGAUCUAGAGUCCGAUAGAGGUGGGUGGAAUUCCUAGUGUAGAGGUGAAAUUCGUAGAUAUUAGGAAGAACACCGGUGGCGAAGGCGGCCCACUGGAUCGGUACUGACGCUGAGGUGCGAAAGCGUGGGGAGCAAACA